RNAcentral lists this ribosomal RNA (890 nucleotides) under Stenotrophomonas maltophilia. Its description in RNAcentral is "bacterial SSU rRNA". It matches the Rfam family "Bacterial small subunit ribosomal RNA", at positions 41 to 919 of the family's 1533-position model. The record is from RNAcentral. Lineage: Bacteria; Pseudomonadati; Pseudomonadota; Gammaproteobacteria; Lysobacterales; Lysobacteraceae.
GGUAGCUACACAUGCAAGUCGACGGCAGCACAGAGGAGCUUGCUCCUUGGGUGGCUAGUGGCGGACGGGUGAGGAAUACAUCGGAAUCUACUCUGUCGUGGGGGAUAACGUAGGGAAACUUACGCUAAUACCGCAUACGACCUACGGGUGAAAGCAGGGGAUCUUCGGRCCUUGCGCGAUUGAAUGAGCCGAUGUCGGAUUAKCUAGUUGGCGGGGUAAAGGCCCACCAAGGCGACGAUCCGUAGCUGGUCUGAGAGGAUGAUCAGCCACACUGGAACUGAGACACGGUCCAGACUCCUACGGGAGGCAGCAGUGGGGAAUAUUGGACAAUGGGCGCAAGCCUGAUCCAGCCAUACCGCGUGGGUGAAGAAGGCCUUCGGGUUGUAAAGCCCUUUUGUUGGGAAAGAAAUCCAGCUGGCUAAUACCCGGUUGGGAUGACGGUACCCAAAGAAUAAGCACCGGCUAACUUCGUGCCAGCAGCCGCGGUAAUACGAAGGGUGCAAGCGUUACUCGGAAUUACUGGGCGUAAAGCGUGCGUAGGUGGUCGUUUAAGUCCGUUGUGAAAGCCCUGGGCUCAACCUGGGAACUGCAGUGGAUACUGGGCGACUAGARUGUGGUAGAGGGUAGCGGAAUUCCUGGUGUAGCAGUGAAAUGCGUAGAGAUCAGGAGGAACAUCCAUGGCGAAGGCAGCUACCUGGRMCAACAYUGACMCUGAGGCACGAAAGCGUGGGGGAGCAAACAGGAUUAGAUACCCUGGUUAGUCCACGCCCUAAACGAUGCGAACUGGAUGUUGGSUGCAAUUUGGCACGCAGUAUCGAAGCUAACGCGUUUAAGUUUCGCCGCCUGGGGGAGUACGGUCGCAGACUGAAACUCAAAGGAUUUGACGGGGG